Small nuclear RNA from Pteronotus mesoamericanus, 107 nucleotides. Lineage: Eukaryota; Metazoa; Chordata; Mammalia; Chiroptera; Mormoopidae. The record is from RefSeq and is a predicted model, not a curated record.
GUGCUCGCUUCGGCAGCACGUGAACUAAAAUUGGAACAACGCGGGGAAGAUGAGCAUGGCCUCUGCGCAAGGAGGACAUGCAAGUUCACGAAGCGCUCCAUAUUUUA